Molecule: long non-coding RNA, 4068 nt
Organism: Chelonoidis abingdonii (Abingdon island giant tortoise)
Lineage: Eukaryota; Metazoa; Chordata; Testudines; Testudinidae
Source: RefSeq, a predicted model, not a curated record
CGCCGGCCGGAGCGCAGGGCAGCGGGUGCGCUCGCAGCAGGCCGGGGCAAAUAAACUUUCCCUCAGAGGCGUGGUUUCUUGAAAUGAGGGGGUGGUCUCGGAAGGAAAGUCUGGGAACAGGACUUUACCAGAAAAAGAACGUGAGGCGAGAGGAAAUACGGCCAGUGCCACAAACUCAUACUGGGAUCUGAGAGCCAAGCUGAUUCUCCGCCAUGCCCACCUUCUUCUGAAUGAUAAUUUAUAAUACAGGUUCUGGCCUCACUGACCCCUGUGAGGUGGGAAGGCUGCUCAAACUCCCUUAGACUCCAGUGACAGAACACUUGGGACCACAGGUUCUUUAAAAGCUUCGGAUCUGUGUGGAGAUCACAGAAACUGGAGAUCUUUUUGUGUGUGUGUGCAAGAGAAGCAGGUCUACCCUAAUGUCUUUGCCCCAAAUCCCCCCUCCAGCCCCACUAUUAUGGACCAUGCUGUUAAUCUGCUGUCUACUGUCUCUGUGCUAGAAGUUGCUGCAUUUCAGUGAUGUACAGUAUGUGAAAUAUCUCCACUCCACUUUAUCAGUCCCUUAGAGGGGGCCUGGAAGCCUCUUGGAUGCUAUCAAAAAUGAAAAUGCUUUCAACUGCUCUUCAGCUAGAUUGCUGAGUCUUGGCACCGUCUCUGCCAUCCAUGGCCCCUUUCCUUGGAGAACAUCAGAGAGCACCAACAGAACCACACUGACACUGACGUACAGCAACCUCCAUUUUAUUUCCAUUAGUCAUUCUGAAAGGACACGACAAUAAUUUACCUUCAUCUCAAUGCUACAAAAUUAUGUCUGAGAGGGAGGUGGUAAAACAGGGCCCUGCCAGCAGCGUGGUGCCAGAAGCGCCACCAAGCACAAGCCAGUCAUCGGAUGGCCGAUACAUGCAGGGCACGUGCACUGGACAGCUCACCAUCAAAACACGGGACGAACUGAUCAAAGAUGCAUGAUCAAAACCACACCCCACUAGCUGCAAGUUCUUCCCAAGAUAGGGAAGCACUUGAGAGCACAGAACGCCGCGAGUGACCCAUGUCUGUCCGUCUCAGGCUGUGAUGCCAUUGUCACAAGCAGCAGUGCUAUCGGGCAUGCACCUACAGUUGCUGGAGGAACGACCAGGACCACCACCUUGCAGAAUGAGCCCAAAUGGACAGGAUUCAAUGUGUGCGGCUUGGGCCCAUCUCCAACAGGGACAGACCCAUCUAAGCUGGUACACUGUCUCCGACCAGAUACUUCAGAGGAAGGCUACAAUCCCCAUAAUGCAUCUCAUUGUUCCAUAUGGGCAUGAUCCAAAGCCCAUCACAUUCACUGUAAAGAUUCCCAAAGGCUUGUGGAUCAGGCGCUGUACUUCGUGGGGGAUUUCUUCUUACAAUCCAGAUCAGAACUUCAUGGCUCAGGCCUUAACUCUAGUCUGGAUCUACCUGAAGCUCUCCUGAUCUUUCUGGCUCAUCAUCAGGCAGGAGCAGAUAUUACUAGCAAAAAGUAAAAUCCUGACACUGGUUUUUAUUUUAAAAAAAAGGGAAGUUCCUAGCAGCUGGGAAAAAACAACAGAGAGAAAACUAUCCCAGAGGACGGGACUGUGGAAGCAGGGUCUGCGUCCGAUUCAGGAUUUGUUGUUCUUUUCUGUCUGGGGAACGGAACAAUGCAAAGCAGAGCAUGGAAAAUAAAUCCAUCCGUAUACAAAUGGGGGAGGGGAACCCUACAGGGAUCUGUUUAAAAUGUUAAAGGCCUGUUCAUUCUUCCUCCUUCUCACAUAGUUGCUCACUCACAUUUCUCCCUCCUCUUCCCCACUCCACCCCUGACUUCCUCCUCACAGCGACAAGCACGUUUUUUCCCUCUAUACAGCCUGGUCAUUGUUCGGUGUCCUGUCCUGGGAGGACAGAGGAACAUAGAGUUUGUACAGCUUCAGUCAUGGCAUGUUAUAUUGCUCAGAUCUGGAUACCUUGUGUUUAAUCUGCCUCUUCUGAAAGGAAGGGCUUUGGUUAUGGUCAAACAGUGAAAGCAGGCAGGGGUGAGAAUUGGAUUUCCUGUCCUCGGCUCAGGGGCGGGGGGGGGCAGGUGUUACGCUGCAGGGUGCUGCAUGCCAGACUGGCACAAUACAAUACAUUUACAUAGCAUAAUUCAUCGUAAGGUUUACUUAAGCCAAUAGGAACUGUGGCCACUCUUAACAUUACAUGGCUAGAACCUUUUAAAACAGACAAGCCAAGCCUAAGUUACAUCAGACCUGAUCCAGAUCUCCCAUACACCACUUUUAUACUCUACCCACUUCAGUGGGGUGACUCCUGAUUUAUAUCCGUGACAACGAGAGUGAAUUCGGCCCAGAACGUCUGGGUUCAGAAAAGUCCAGUUAGUAUUUGCUGCACUGACUAUGAAGCUGCUAAAGGGACUGGGACAAGUCAGGGAUCCAAGCCAACACUGUGAGUCCUCAGCCCAGACCUAAUUUCUAGUAACAAAUGCAGCCCACUAGUUGUUCCAUCCCUAGAGUUAAUUUAAGGCACUGGGUUUCAACCUGCGGUCCACAGACCCCUGAAGACCUGCCAACUAUGUCAGUGUUUGCCAAAGGAGUCCACACCUAAAGUCGAAAUUUUUUAGGGGUCUGCAAAUGAAAAAAGAUUGAAACUCCUGAUUUAGUGGAGUAAAAGCCAGCGAGCCAGCCCACAAAUUCAAUUGAAACCCUGUCCCAGGGCGGUGCUAUGAACCAUUUACUGCUAUUUACGGGCUCACUGGGACCAUAGAGUUCAGAGGACAUUUGUAAAUAAAGCAAGAAAUGGACAAAGGGAAAUCCUGUCUGUAAAUUCUAAACUGACCCUCCAUUACGUGUCUAUGAUCUUUCUUUACAGGCAUCUCUGCUGGGCCUUCUCCUCAAAGCCCAAAACCCAGGCCUAGAUUAGUCAGGGACAACUAGUUAGCUAGAGAAGAAGAUUGCAGGGCUCUCAGUCUGUCUGGGUGUCCCUUGAACUGCAGAAUCCCUGCUGAGUGAGUCAGUGAUGGGACAGCACCAGCCCGGCUGAGAGCUCUCUGUGUUUAGACUAGCAGCAGGUCCAAUCAGCAGGAGGAUUCGCAGUCUGUCACCCUCCAGUUUUUAAGCCCUCAGCCCUUUUCAUCUUUUUGAUACACAUGAAUUUCUGAAUUACCCGUGUGACAGCACGGGCCUUCAGCUAAUUAUCAUCCUUAGUCCGACAGCCGUGCUUAGGAGCCUUAGUCAAGAUCAGGGCCUCAUCAUGUGAGGUGCUUUAUAAAGGCAAUAGUGAGAUUCGCUCCCUGCCCCAAGGCACUUACAGUCUAAACAGAGAAGCCGGCCAAAGGGUGGGAGAGGAAACAGAGAGAUGAAGUGACUGGAUCAAGGUUAUGCAGCUGGUCCGUGGCAGAGCCGGGACUGGAGGCCAGCUCUCCUGGGUCCCAGCACAGAGUCCUAUCUACGAUACUCAGAGUGAGGCUGGGGAGCCACAGGUGGCUCUUUACUGCAUUUCCUGCAGCUCUUUGCAGAGCAUGAUAUUAAAACCCUGGGUGAUUUCAUUAUUAACCAAUAUAAGUUAUUAACCAAUCAGGAAGCUUUUACUAUGUUAUUAACCAAUUGUAGACUACUUGGUCAGCCAUUUUGCUGUGAGAAUAAUUAUAUAGAUAUAAAAAUAGUCAAUGAAACAAUGAAUUCACACUCCUGGGGCUACUGUUGAUGGCUGAUUUGGCUCCUGGACCACUGAAGUCUGAGAAUCACUGAACCUAGAGCCACUGAAGCAUCUGGGAGUUUUGCCGGCUGACGGACUAUGGUGGAAAUGAUCCUAUUUACUCCAAGCCUGGAUUUGGCCCAAACAGAGGGUGCUGCUCUCAAGCAAAUGUCAAUCAGACCCGGUGAGCUCUAAGAAGGAGAAGGAGGCCUGACAACCAGUCAUUCAGCUCCAGAGACAGGGCCACUCUGGGGAGAUGCCAGGCUGGGGCAGGUCCCUCCAGGCCAAAGAGCUGCAUUAGAACUCUCCCUAGGAGCUUUUCAAAUUCCAGAAUCAACCAGUAGAAAUGCCCCAAUCCAAAGCCCAUUCAAUCAAUGGGAGUUUUUCCUACUG